RNAcentral lists this ribosomal RNA (452 nucleotides) under Lancefieldella parvula. Its description in RNAcentral is "bacterial SSU rRNA". It matches the Rfam family "Bacterial small subunit ribosomal RNA", at positions 28 to 493 of the family's 1533-position model. Lineage: Bacteria; Bacillati; Actinomycetota; Coriobacteriia; Coriobacteriales; Atopobiaceae. The record is from RNAcentral.
GAUGAACGCUGGCGGCGCGCCUAACACAUGCAAGUCGAACGAUUAAAGCACCUUCGGGUGUGUAUAAAGUGGCGAACGGCUGAGUAACACGUGGGCAACCUGCCCCUCUCAUUGGGAUAGCCACGGGAAACCGUGGAUAAUACCGAAUACUUCGGGACUUCCGCAUGGAAGACUCGAGAAAGCUCCGGCGGAGAGGGAUGGGCCCGCGGCCUGUUAGCUUGUUGGUGGGGUAACGGCCUACCAAGGCAAUGAUGGGUAGCUGGGUUGAGAGACCGACCAGCCAGAUUGGGACUGAGACACGGCCCAGACUCCUACGGGAGGCAGCAGUGGGGAAUCUUGCACAAUGGGCGAAAGCCUGAUGCAGCGACGCCGCGUGCGGGAUGAAGGCCUUCGGGUUGUAAACCGCUUUCAGCAGGGACGAGGCGAAAGUGACGGACCUGCAGAAGAGCCCC